This 467-nucleotide ribosomal RNA is filed under the name Luria isabellamexicana. Its description in RNAcentral is "partial 16S large subunit ribosomal RNA". It matches the Rfam family "Bacterial large subunit ribosomal RNA", at positions 1850 to 2577 of the family's 2925-position model. The record is from RNAcentral. Lineage: Eukaryota; Metazoa; Mollusca; Gastropoda; Littorinimorpha; Cypraeidae.
GAGUCGGACCUGCCCAGUGAAUAAUUUUUUAACGGCCGCGGUACUCUGACCGUGCAAAGGUAGCAUAAUCAUUUGCCCUAUAAUUGAGGGCUAGUAUGAAUGGUUUGACGUGAACAAGACUGUCUCUGCAUGAUUUUUUAGAACUUGAUUUCUAGGUGAAGAAACCUAGAUACUAUUGAUAGACAAGAAGACCCUAUUGAGCUUUAAAAAAAUAGGUUGAAAACAAUAUAUAUGAAUCAUAGAUAUUAGUCUACCUAAAAUUUUGGUUGGGGCGACUAUGGAACAAACAAAGCUUCUUUACACUUAUAAGACUGACAAGUUUUGAUCCAAGCAUUUUGAUCAAUGAAAUUAGUUACCAUAGGGAUAACAGCAUAAUUCUCUUUGAGAGCUCUUAUCGAAAAGAGAGUUUGUGACCUCGAUGUUGGACUAGAAUAUCCUAAAGAUGCAGCAGUCUUUAAGGGUUGGUC